This 207-nucleotide ribosomal RNA is filed under the name uncultured bacterium. Its description in RNAcentral is "partial 16S ribosomal RNA". It matches the Rfam family "Bacterial small subunit ribosomal RNA", at positions 568 to 774 of the family's 1533-position model. The record is from RNAcentral.
CGUGUAGGCGGCUGCGUGUGUCGGGCGUGAAAUCCCAUGGCUCAACCAUGGAAGUGCACCCGAAACUGCGCAGCUAGAGUCCUGGAGAGGAAGGUGGAAUGCUUGGUGUAGAGGUGAAAUUCGUAGAUAUCAAGCGGAACACCGGUGGCGAAGGCGGCCUUCUGGACAGUGACUGACGCUGAGACGCGAAAGCGUGGGGAGCAAACA